This 262-nucleotide ribosomal RNA is filed under the name uncultured bacterium. Its description in RNAcentral is "partial 16S ribosomal RNA". It matches the Rfam family "Bacterial small subunit ribosomal RNA", at positions 333 to 591 of the family's 1533-position model. The record is from RNAcentral.
GGCCUCCUACGGGGCGCAGCAGUGAGGAAUAUUGGUCAAUGGGCGGGAGUCUGAACCAGCCAAGUCGCGUGAGGGAAGACGGUCCUAUGGAUUGUAAACCUCUUUAGGCGGGGAGCAAUGCCGGGCACGUGUGCCCGGAGGGAGAGUACCCGCAGAAUAAGCAUCGGCUAACUCCGUGCCAGCAGCCGCGGUAAUACGGAGGAUGCGCGCGUUAUCCGGAUUUAUUGGGUUUAAAGGGUGCGUCGGCGGAUUUUUAAGUCAG